GAUGAACGCUGGCGGCGUGCAUAACACAUUCAAGUCGAACGGUGAAGUGACUUCGGUCACGGAUCAGUGGCGGACGGGUGAGUAACGCGUGAAUAACCUGCCUGUAUGUGGGGGAUAACAACCGGAAACAGUUGCUAAUACCGCAUAAUGUAUGGAAAUCGCAUGUUUUCCAUACCAAAGAUUUAUUGCAUACAGAUGGAUUCGCGUCCGAUUAGAUAGUUGGUGAGGUAACGGCCCACCAAGUCGACGAUCGGUAGCCGGACUGAGAGGUUGAACGGCCACAUUGGAACUGAGACACGGCCCAGACUCCUACGGGAGGCAGCAGUGGGGAAUAUUGCGCAAUGGGGGAAACCCUGACGCAGCAACGCCGCGUGAAGGAUGAAGGUCUUCGGAUUGAAACUUUUGCUUUGGUGAAGAUAGUGACGGUAGCCAAGGAGGAAGCCACGGCUAACUACGUG
RNAcentral lists this ribosomal RNA (458 nucleotides) under uncultured bacterium. Its description in RNAcentral is "bacterial SSU rRNA". It matches the Rfam family "Bacterial small subunit ribosomal RNA", at positions 28 to 507 of the family's 1533-position model. The record is from RNAcentral.